UGCGUAGGCGGUUUCGUAAGUCGUGUGUGAAAGGCGGGGGGCUCAACCCCCGGACUGCACAUGAUACUGCGAGACUAGAGUAAUGGAGGGGGAACCGGAAUUCUCGGUGUAGCAGUGAAAUGCGUAGAUAUCGAGAGGAACACUCGUGGCGAAGGCGGGUUCCUGGACAUUAACUGACGCUGAGGCACGAAGGCCAGGGGAGCGAAAG
Molecule: ribosomal RNA, 208 nt
Filed under: uncultured bacterium
Lineage: Bacteria
Description: partial 16S ribosomal RNA
Rfam family: Bacterial small subunit ribosomal RNA
Source: RNAcentral